AGAGUUUGAUCAUGGCUCAGGAUGAACGCUAGCGGCAGGCCUAGUACAUGCAAGUCGAGGGGUAAAUAUGUAGCAAUAUAUAUGAGACCGGCGCACGGGUGCGUAACACGUAUGCAACCUACCUUUUACUGGGGCAUAGCUCAGAGAAAUCUGAAUUAAUUCCCCAUAACACUGCACUUCGGCAUCGGAGAGCAGUUAAAGCUCCGGCGGUAAAAGAUGGGCAUGCGGAACAUUAGCUAGUUGGUGAGGUAAUGGCUCACCAAGGCUACGAUGUUUAGGGGGUCUGAGAGGAUGAUCCCCCACACUGGUACUGAGACACGGCCCAGACUCCUACGGGAGGCAGCAGUAGGGAAUAUUGGUCAAUGGACGCAAGUCUGAACCAGCCAUGCCGCGUGCUGCAUGAAUGUCCUAUGGAUUGUAAACUGAUUCUUCUUUGCAAUAAACUCCUGGUUGCCACUACUCCUGACCGUU
RNAcentral lists this ribosomal RNA (471 nucleotides) under uncultured bacterium. RNAcentral's name for it is "bacterial SSU rRNA". It matches the Rfam family "Bacterial small subunit ribosomal RNA", at positions 8 to 473 of the family's 1533-position model. The record is from RNAcentral.